UAAUGGGUCAGCGACUUAUAUUCAGUGGCAAGGUUAACCAUCUAGGGGAGCCGUAGGGAAACCGAGUCUUAACUGGGCGUUCAGUCUCUGGAUAUAGACCCGAAACCAGGUGAUCUAGCCAUGGGCAGGUUGAAGGUUGAGUAACAUCAACUGGAGGACCGAACCGACUAAUGUUGAAAAAUUAGCGGAUGACUUGUGGCUAGGGGUGAAAGGCCAAUCAAACCUGGAGAUAGCUGGUUCUCCCCGAAAGCUAUUUAGGUAGCGCCUCGGACGAAUACUACUGGGGGUAGAGCACUGUUAAGGCUAGGGGGUCAUCCCGACUUACCAACCCUUUGCAAACUCCGAAUACCAGUAAGUACUAUCCGGGAGACACACGGCGGGUGCUAACGUCCGUCGUGGAGAGGGAAACAACCCAGACCGCCAGCUAAGGUCCCAAAUUACUACUAAGUGGGAAACGAUGUGGGAAGGCUCAGACAGCCAGGAUGUUGGCUUAGAAGCAGCCAUCAUUUAAAGAAAGCGUAAUAGCUCACUGGUCGAGUCGGCCUGCGCGGAAGAUGUAACGGGGCUAAGUAGUAAACCGAAGCUGCGGCAAUAUACUUUUGUAUAUUGGGUAGGGGAGCGUUCUGUAAGCGGUUGAAGGUGUGUGGUAACGCAUGCUGGACGUAUCAGAAGUGCGAAUGCUGACAUGAGUAACGAUAAAGGGGGUGAAAAACCUCCUCGCCGGAAGACCAAGGGUUCCUGUCCAACGUUAAUCGGGGCAGGGUAAGUCGACCCCUAAGGCGAGGCCGAAAGGCGUAGUCGAUGGGAAACGGGUUAAUAUUCCCGUACUUCUUACAAUUGCGAUGGGGGGACGGAGAAGGCUAGGUGGGCCUGGCGACGGUUGUCCAGGUUCAAGUGCGUAGGCUUAAGAGUUAGGUAAAUCCGGCUCUUUUUAAG
Molecule: ribosomal RNA, 936 nt
Filed under: Vibrio parahaemolyticus
Lineage: Bacteria; Pseudomonadati; Pseudomonadota; Gammaproteobacteria; Vibrionales; Vibrionaceae
Description: partial 23S ribosomal RNA
Rfam family: Bacterial large subunit ribosomal RNA
Source: RNAcentral